AUUGUAAUUUAAAAAUAAAAACUAGCAUCCUGCAUCUUUGAUUGCCAGAUUCAUCAUAACACGCAUAAAUAUAAACAAAAAGACUCAAGAUAUAGCUCUUUAAAAAACCUGUGUGUGUGAUAAUGUCAUAUAGUUAGUUAAAAAUUGCUUUGAUUUAUAGGGAUUUAAUUUAGUGACUUUACCAUUUGUUUUAAUGAUGUUUAUUUACAGUGCAAUCUAUUCUGCUUACCCGACUCAUGCAGACUUCUGUCCUGAUGUUUGGCUGUAGUCCUUCCAUCAUCCACUCUUCUGCAACCGGUCUAUUUAUGGAGACCACCAUGAUCUAAUCUAUACAGAUCUAGUUGUCUCUUCUCCCACAAACUCCUCUUUCAGAUUUUGAGCGGAUCUCCUUCAUUCUGCCGCCAGCUCACCAGAACCUCAGGGUGCACCAGCUGUGGAUAUUACAGGCCAAACUUUGGACACCCUAGGACAACAUCCUUAGCACAGAUCUACCUAUAGCCCUCCAUCAUUCCCACAUCCAUCUUGCAACAGUUUCAUGAAGUGCAGUCCAUAACCAGUUCACGGUCUACACCUUGUCCAUUGCAAAUGUUAUGGAUUAUUCUAAUAGAGAUCUUUCUAUUAUUUUUUUGAGACUGUUAUUAUGUACUCUGUUAUGUUGUGAAUAAAGUCAACCCCCCCCCCCCCUCGAUGCUUUCAGCAGUUAAUACAUUAAAGUGUGUCCUUAAUGUUUUAUUAUUUAAAGAUUGUUUUAAAGUUUAUUACAGGCUCAGUUUAUUUUUUUUUUUCACUAGAAAAUAAAGUGUUGUAUUACCUGUCAUAAUCAAGUAUGAGACUUUUGUCAGUAUCAUUAAUUCUGAGGCAAUAUGAAUCAAAUUAACAUUUGUAUAGGGUUUUCAUCCGAAGGCUUCUUCCUCAUUCAGUUAAACAUCAAGGGUUUUCUUUGCCUUUGUCACCUUUAACUUUCUCAUUGGAAAUUGUGAGCAUCAUUAUUUGGAAGAAAAUAAGAAUAUGAAAAUGGCUUUGGAUUUCAAUGUAUUGCAUGGAAUCAAAGAACCACACAAACCUUUGACCUUCAUACAGACAUGGUAUAAAUUAAAGUGUUACUCAAAUUA
Carassius carassius (crucian carp) is the source of this 1112-nucleotide long non-coding RNA. RefSeq lists it as uncharacterized. Lineage: Eukaryota; Metazoa; Chordata; Actinopteri; Cypriniformes; Cyprinidae. The transcript has 3 exons. The record is from RefSeq and is a predicted model, not a curated record.